ACCCGCACAAGCGGUGGAUGAUGUGGAUUAAUCGAUGCAACGCGAAAACCUUACCUACCCUUGACAUGUCCGGAAUCCUGCAGAGAUGCGGGAGUGCCCGAAAGGGAAUCGGAACACAGGUGCUGCAUGGCUGUCGUCAGCUCGUGUCGUGAGAUGUUGGGUUAAGUCCCGCAACGAGCGCAACCCUUAUCAUUAGUUGCUACGCAAGGGCACUCUAAUGAGACUGCCGGUGACAAACCGGAGGAAGGUGGGGAUGACGUCAAGUCCUCAUGGCCCUUAUGGGUAGGGCUUCACACGUCAUACAAUGGUCGGUACAGAGGGUUGCCAAGCCGCGAGGUGGAGCCAACCCCAGAAAGCCGAUCGUAGUCCGGAUUGUUCUCUGCAACUCGAGAGCAUGAAGUCGGAAUCGCUAGUAAUCGCGGAUCAGCAUGUCGCGGUGAAUACGUUCCCGGGUCUU
Molecule: ribosomal RNA, 457 nt
Filed under: uncultured Thiobacillus sp.
Lineage: Bacteria; Pseudomonadati; Pseudomonadota; Betaproteobacteria; Nitrosomonadales; Thiobacillaceae
Description: bacterial SSU rRNA
Rfam family: Bacterial small subunit ribosomal RNA
Source: RNAcentral